RNAcentral lists this ribosomal RNA (404 nucleotides) under uncultured Saccharospirillum sp. RNAcentral's name for it is "bacterial SSU rRNA". It matches the Rfam family "Bacterial small subunit ribosomal RNA", at positions 30 to 435 of the family's 1533-position model. The record is from RNAcentral. Lineage: Bacteria; Pseudomonadati; Pseudomonadota; Gammaproteobacteria; Oceanospirillales; Saccharospirillaceae.
AUUGAACGCUGGCGGCAGGCCUAACACAUGCAAGUCGAGCGGAAACGAUCCUAGCUUGCUAGGAGGCGUCGAGCGGCGGACGGGUGAGUAACGCGUAGGAAUCUGCCCGGUAGUUGGGGAUAGCCCGGAGAAAUCCGGAUUAAUACCGAAUAAUCUCUACGGAGGAAAGGGGGCUUCGGCUCUCGCUACUGGAUGAGCCUGCGUGAGAUUAGCUAGUUGGUGGGGGUAAAGGCUCACCAAGGCGACGAUCUCUAGCUGGUCUGAGAGGAUGAUCAGCCACACUGGGACUGAGACACGGCCCAGACUCCUACGGGGAGGCAGCAGUGGGGAAUAUUGGACAAUGGGGCAACCCUGAUCCAGCCAUGCCGCGUGUGUGAAGAAGGCUUUCGGGUUGUAAAGCACUU